UACGAAGGGGGCUAGCGUUGCUCGGAAUUACUGGGCGUAAAGGGCGCGCAGGCGGCCCUCCAAGUCAGGCGUGAAAGCCCCGGGCUCAACCCGGGAACAGCGCUUGAGACUGGGGGGCUUGAGUUCGGGAGAGGAGAGUGGAAUUCCCAGUGUAGAGGUGAAAUGCGCAGAUAUCAGGAGGAACACCGAUGGCGAAGGCAGCUCGCUGGGACGGUACUGACGCUGAGGCGCGAAAGCGUGGGGAGCAAACGGG
This 253-nucleotide ribosomal RNA is filed under the name uncultured bacterium. RNAcentral describes it as "partial 16S ribosomal RNA". It matches the Rfam family "Bacterial small subunit ribosomal RNA", at positions 524 to 776 of the family's 1533-position model. The record is from RNAcentral.